CUACGGGAGGCAGCAGUGGGGAAUAUUGCACAAUGGGGGGAACCCUGAUGCAGCGACGCCGCGUGGGUGAAGGAGUACUUCGGUACGUAAAGCCCUAUCAGCAGGAAAGAAAAUGACGGUACCUGACUAAGAAGCCCCGGCUAACUACGUGCCAGCAGCCGCGGUAAUACGUAGGGGGCAAGCGUUAUCCGGAUUUACUGGGUGUAAAGGGAGCGUAGACGGCCAGACAAGUCUGAAGUGAAAAUCCAGCGCUUAACGUUGGAAGUGCUUUGGAAACUGCCGGGCUGGAGUGCAGGAGGGGCAGG
Molecule: ribosomal RNA, 305 nt
Filed under: uncultured bacterium
Lineage: Bacteria
Description: bacterial SSU rRNA
Rfam family: Bacterial small subunit ribosomal RNA
Source: RNAcentral